CCGCGCAUUCUCCGCAUCGGCACUUAAUAUAUUUUCAUUUUAAACAAGUGCCGCCCUCACCCCCCAUCGACACUAAUUUAUCAAUUUUUUUAACCCCAAUCUAUGAAUCCUGUUUACUUCUCCGAAUGAAAAAUAAAAAAAACGAAAACUGAUUUGUUCGAAUGAAAUUGGAGGCAGACAGGGAGCUAAUCUCUGUUUUCUUCUUUCCAAUCUACAAUUUCGUGGAGCUGGAGACAGCUAGGGGCAGAGGCGCGACCAAAUCGGAGGACAAGAACCUUAUCAAUGGUGUCUCUGAUUAUGGAAUGAACCUCUAAUUUCUUAGACAAACGUAGCAGAGGUGAUAAUAUAGCUCGUCAAGUGAAAUAAAGCAUGGAAAACUAGAAGUCUCUGAUGUGGCUGAAAGUUCAUUUUCAGAUUUAAAAAAGAAGAAGAAGAAACAUGUUGAAAUUAGUAACUUAAAUGAUGAGGGUGGACAUGCAAUUGAAGAUUUGGAUGAUCACAAUGAAGAAGAUGAAGAAGAUGAUGUUUCCUUGCAGCACCGUUAUCGUUGGCUGACAGUGAUAAGCUUGGGGAUUCUGAUUCUCCUAUUUUACGAUCAAGUGAAGAGGAAAUGGAACAUUCACUACUUGGGACGUGUUCUGGAUUCAUACUGGAGAGUUCCUCAUAUUCCUUCCCCUCCUACAGCUUGGAGACAAUGUUUUAUAACUUGGAGACAAUGUUUUUUUAUUUGUUAGGUUGCAAUGAUGCUAAGUGCUCCCCUCUUACAGAGAAGUUUAAAAGGCUUUCCAGUUAAGUUUGGUCUUGUAGCAUUGUGUUUUUAAAA
This is a long non-coding RNA of Gastrolobium bilobum, 823 nucleotides long. RefSeq lists it as uncharacterized. The transcript has 6 exons. NCBI's taxonomy places the organism in Eukaryota, Viridiplantae, Streptophyta, Magnoliopsida, Fabales, Fabaceae. The record is from RefSeq and is a predicted model, not a curated record.